GGACUAUUAGCUCAGCUGGUUAGAGCGCUGUGUUGAUAACGCAGAGGUCCCAGGUCCGAGUCCUGGCUGAGUACU
This 75-nucleotide transfer RNA is filed under the name Oenococcus oeni. RNAcentral describes it as "tRNA-Ile". The stretch from base 8 to 66 matches the Rfam family "tRNA", at positions 8 to 63 of the family's 71-position model. Rfam says of the family: Transfer RNA (tRNA) molecules are approximately 80 nucleotides in length. Their secondary structure includes four short double-helical elements and three loops (D, anti-codon, and T loops). Further hydrogen bonds mediate the characteristic L-shaped molecular structure. tRNAs have two regions of fundamental functional importance: the anti-codon, which is responsible for specific mRNA codon recognition, and the 3' end, to which the tRNAs corresponding amino acid is attached (by aminoacyl-tRNA synthetases). tRNAs cope with the degeneracy of the genetic code in two manners: having more than one tRNA (with a specific anti-codon) for a particular amino acid; and 'wobble' base-pairing, i.e. permitting non-standard base-pairing at the 3rd anti-codon position. The record is from RNAcentral. Lineage: Bacteria; Bacillati; Bacillota; Bacilli; Lactobacillales; Lactobacillaceae.